Molecule: unclassified non-coding RNA, 552 nt
Filed under: Carex qingyangensis
Lineage: Eukaryota; Viridiplantae; Streptophyta; Magnoliopsida; Poales; Cyperaceae
Description: partial external transcribed spacer 1
Source: RNAcentral
AGCCGGCGCGUCAGCUCCGGCACCGACCCGGACGGGCGUGCCUUCGCGUGACGCAAACCGGAAAUCGCUGCUCAUACAAUCGGAGAGGCAUUCCACGUGCACAAGACCACGCUCCGGACACUCUGUUCGGCAUCGUGCUGUCAAACUGACUGCACGAAGGAACACGAUCUGCGUGCCGCGGUGACGGCACGACGAGACGGCGUAUAAAGAGCAAUGGUUCAUACAAGGGACCUCCCGAAGUCUGCGGGGCAAAGUCCCGCAGAGCUAUAGCACUAGGCACGGCAUCCGUGAGAGCCAGCAAAAAUCCAAGUGAUAGCAACGCGGCAUUCGACCGCGCGACAAACACAAGGAUUUCGCCAACAUUUCGGCUGCCCAAACGACACAAAAAUGUCAGAAGGGCAAGCAAAUAUCCAUCCAGGGACGACUUCGCUACCCACAAGGGGGUAGAACCGCACAGGCAACCGAUCGGAAGCAUCCCAACCACGACGUGUUCAAUGACGGGAGGGAGAGUGAAGAGACAGCCCCAUGUUCGGUUGGCCGCACCAAAAGUGC